Pan troglodytes (chimpanzee) is the source of this 1091-nucleotide long non-coding RNA. RefSeq lists it as uncharacterized. Lineage: Eukaryota; Metazoa; Chordata; Mammalia; Primates; Hominidae. The record is from RefSeq and is a predicted model, not a curated record. The transcript has 3 exons.
CUGGAGACCAUGAUAACAGCCAGAGUUGACAGUUAGAAGGAAUGGCAGAAGGCCAGUGAGAAGCUCCUUCAGGAGAGAACUUACACCAACUCUCCAUUUAGAGGAAAACACCCAGAAAUGCUGGCUUUGCCAAACUGGUUGGAGACGACUGUAAAUGACUAGAAAAUGGAAUCCAGGAAAGAGCCCAGGAAAUUCUGGAAGAGGAGCCAAAGGAGAAGACAUCAUCAGAGAGAUAAGGAGAAGCUUGGAGGAAAGCGUGUAACCAAUGUCAGGGAGGAAGCCCUGGUGUGUCAAAGGCAGCAAGAAGCACAGCAAAAUAGCAGAGGAAGGUCUGUUGGAUUUCAUCACAUGAAGGCAGCUUCCUGGCUGCACCCCUCAUGAGUGGGAUGACAGCUCCGUCCACCGGCAUCCUCUCCUUCAUUCCCUUCAUUCAAUCCAUCUCCAGAAACGGCUGCCUUUCUGUUCUCCCAGCACCCUGCCCUACCUUCUCCAAGAGUUCCCAAAGCAUGAUUCCAGACAAGCAGCAUCCACAUCACCUGUGUAUUUGCUGCAAAUGUGGGUACACAGCCUGUAUUAGAAUCUCAGGAGAUGGGACCCAGAAAACUGUUUCAAUAAGCCCUGGAGCGCUUGAUGAAGUUUGAGACCCUCUGCCUUCUGCAUCAUUCCCAGUGAUCCUCUUCCACAAUCCCAGUGCUACUUAUGAAUCACAGAUAAAAUAAUGCCUGUCUCUGUUUAAAACCAUCCAGAGGGGUCUUGCUAUCUUCAGAAUUAAGUUCAAAGCCAUUCUUCCCAGUGGUCCAUGUUCUGUGAGCUUUUUCAGAUGCUUUGUCCCCUCUGUUCAAAGCACUAUUCACCCACCACCUACCCAUCCACUGACACUGCUACCCACCAGCCUGCCAUGCUCUUCUUCAUCCUUUGUGACUCACCUUCCAGUAUCCUCUGACCUCCAGACAAGUUUCCACAGGGGAAUGGGAGUGCCUGAGAUAAUACUGCUCACCUCUGUGAAAAUCGCUCUUCCUGCCUCUUAAAUCAACUCCUUGAGGAAUGGACCCACUAUCAGUCUUGUUUAACAAUGAAUCAUCAGUGGCAAC